CUCAGGAUGAACGCUAGCGACAGGCCUAACACAUGCAAGUCGAGGGGCAGUGAAGAGGUAGCAAUACCUUUGUCGGCGACCGGCGCACGGGUGAGUAACACGUAUGCAAUCCACCUGUAACAGGGGGAUAACCCGGAGAAAUCCGGACUAAUACCCCAUAAUAUGGGCGCCCCGCAUGGAGAGCCCAUUAAAGAGAGCAAUUUUGGUUACAGACGAGCAUGCGCUCCAUUAGCCAGUUGGCGGGGUAACGGCCCACCAAAGCGACGAUGGAUAGGGGUGCUGAGAGGAAGGUCCCCCACAUUGGAACUGAGACACGGUCCAAACUCCUACGGGAGGCAGCAGUGAGGAAUAUUGGUCAAUGGUCGGCAGACUGAACCAGCCAAGUCGCGUGAGGGAAUACGGCCCUACGGGUUGUAAACCUCUUUUGUCGGAGAGUAAAGUACGCUACGUGUAGUGUAUUGCAAGUAUCCGAAGAAAAAGCAUCGGCUAACUCCGUGCCAGCAGCCGCGGUAAUACGGAGGAUGCAAGCGUUAUCCGGAUUUAUUGGGUUUAAAGGGUGCGUAGGCGGCACGCCAAGUCAGCGGUGAAAUUUCUGGGCUCAACCCGGAGUGUGCCGUUGAAACUGGCGAGCUAGAGUACACAAGAGGCAGGCGGAAUGCGUGGUGUAGCGGUGAAAUGCAUAGAUAUCACGCAGAACCCCGAUUGCGAAGGCAGCCUGCUAGGGUGAAACAGACGCUGAGGCACGAAAGCGUGGGUAUCGAACAGGAUUAGAUACCCUGGUAGUCCACGCAGUAAACGAUGAAUACUAACUGUUUGCGAUACAAUGUAAGCGGUACAGCGAAA
Molecule: ribosomal RNA, 843 nt
Filed under: uncultured Bacteroidota bacterium
Lineage: Bacteria; Pseudomonadati; Bacteroidota
Description: bacterial SSU rRNA
Rfam family: Bacterial small subunit ribosomal RNA
Source: RNAcentral